Molecule: long non-coding RNA, 1271 nt
Filed under: Drosophila guanche
Lineage: Eukaryota; Metazoa; Arthropoda; Insecta; Diptera; Drosophilidae
Source: RNAcentral
CGGACCAAUAAAUGGCAGCGCAUAAAAAUAUAUUGUGUUCCGCUCACUACCUGAACAACGAAUUAGCAUCAGGAGCAUCCGCAUCGGAUCGCAACCCAAGCCAUCCCAUCCCCCGUCUGCCACAGGCACCAGCACCAGAGCUAUUCGAUACGAUACGAGGAGUAUACAAAAGUAAUCUCCUAAGAAGAAGUCGCCAGAUCGUCCGCCAUAAAUCAUGCCAAACUGCUGUUUGGGUAUAGAAAGUCAACGUAAAAUGCCAUCACUUAAAGUCAUUCAAGCAUUUAUUUAUGUCAAAACAUUGUCCGCUAAGCUGCUGCGAACCCACCCGAAUCCUCGGGAAGAGGUUCCUCUAUAUACCAGCACCAGGGGUCAGUCGGGCAGCCCAGUCGAAUGUAUAACUCAAUUAUAGGCGGCUGUGUGCUCACACCGCAGCGGGGUGUCGGCGCAUUGGCCCCUUACGAAUAUAAUUUUUACUCCUCUCUGGUCUGGAAAGUAGUUUGAAUGGACUGGAACAGAGACAGGAGUAGGGACAGGGAUAGGGACGCUAGUCUAGCAGACAAUGCUCCUGUGGCGAUCGGGGUCAUUGCGGUUUAGGACAGUCUCAGCGGGUAAAGCGAGAGAGAGAGAUAGCAUUUAUGUCAUUAGAAACCUGGUAUCAAUGCUCAAUGAAAACAUCUUUGCUGCACUUUUAUCGCCAGCAUUCGCUGUCCCUGAUUUCUGUGUGGCCCAUCCCCGUACCCGUCCCGCAUGCACAAUCGGAUUGUACAUUUUGCCAUUUUGUACUGGCCACGACCGAAACGAUCUGCAAGGGCCAGGGCCGGGGGGAGCAGACAUGAUUUCUGUAUAACGAGAACAAUGUUUUUAACGUUCUUGCCUUUGGGCCACACUGCAGUUUCGCGUCGUUGGCGAUCUCCGUUUCUUGGGAGGGGGCAGGGGGCAGGGCAGUAUGCAAGUGAGGCAAGUACACGACGAUGGGGCUCGGAUCGUGCAAAAGUACAGCGACGGACUGACAGGUGGCGCCGGCGCCGAUUCGAAUUUAAAUAUGAGAAGGAGAGGAGGUCGGGGUCGAAGUUCCAGCUAAUUCUCAAUCUUCGACGCAGUCACAAUGUUUUUGCUUGUACAAGACACAAAACGUCUCUUAUUUCGCUUAAUAAACUACAAUCUAUUCAAUUUGAUCCUCAUAAUUAUGUUUGUUCGCUUAAUUUAUGGUAGAAGAGACUUUUAAUUUCACAAAAUAUGGAAAUCGAAUCGAUCUGCUAUCAAUCCUUACU